This 425-nucleotide ribosomal RNA is filed under the name uncultured bacterium. Its description in RNAcentral is "partial 16S ribosomal RNA". It matches the Rfam family "Bacterial small subunit ribosomal RNA", at positions 354 to 796 of the family's 1533-position model. The record is from RNAcentral.
GUGGGGAAUAUUGGACAAUGGGCGAAAGCCUGAUCCAGCAAUGCCGCGUGAGUGAUGAAGGCCUUAGGGUUGUAAAGCUCUUUUACCCGGGAUGAUAAUGACAGUACCGGGAGAAUAAGCUCCGGCUAACUCCGUGCCAGCAGCCGCGGUAAUACGGAGGGAGCUAGCGUUGUUCGGAAUUACUGGGCGUAAAGCGCACGUAGGCGGCUAUUCAAGUCAGGGGUGAAAUCCCGGGGCUCAACCUCGGAACUGCCUUUGAAACUGGAUGGCUAGAAUCCUGGAGAGGCGAGUGGAAUUCCGAGUGUAGAGGUGAAAUUCGUAGAUAUUCGGAAGAACACCAGUGGCGAAGGCGACUCGCUGGACAGGUAUUGACGCUGAGGUGCGAAAGCGUGGGGAGCAAACAGGAUUAGAUACCCUUGUAGUCC